This 1528-nucleotide long non-coding RNA is filed under the name Zonotrichia albicollis (white-throated sparrow). RNAcentral's name for it is "lncRNA (ENSZALG00000007488.1)". Lineage: Eukaryota; Metazoa; Chordata; Aves; Passeriformes; Passerellidae. The record is from RNAcentral.
AUGGGUGAAGGAGAGUUUUACUCCUUGGGUCACUUGGGCGUUUCAUCCCACAGUGGGAGGAGAGGGGUUCUGAGCAGUUUUACUCCCUGGUUUAUUUGGGUGUUUUAUCCCCAGGGAUGUGAGAGAAGGGUUCUGAGCUCCCUGGGGCUCCCACACUCAGCACACACAGCAUUCCAGGUGGGAAUGUGCUGUCCCCAAGCACACACAGGGGCCAUUCCAGGUGGGAAUGUGCUGUCCCCAAGCACACACAGGGUUCCAGGUGGGAAUGUGCUGUCCCCAAGCACACACAGCACUCCAGGUGGGACUGUGCUGUCCCCAAGCACACACAGGGUUCCAGGUGGGAAUGUGCUGUCCCCAAGCACACACAGCACUCCAGGUGGGACUGUCCUGUCCUUACCCUCCCUGCAGGACCUGCGGAAGGUCAGCGUGGAGUCCAUCUCGUUCUUGAUCUUGAUCAGGGCAUCGAGCACCAUGGGCCCACACCUGCGGCACAAAGCCCAAAUCAGAGCCCCCACAUGCAGGGUGUGACCCCUGCACCCGCCCUCAGCAGCACCUAAAGGGGUUUUUAACAACUCCCAGGAAUUCUGGGGGGAUCCCACAGGGAUCUCUGAGCAGCAGGGCAGCCCAGGGCCAGGGUGGGUCAGACUCCUGUGACCACUGAGGGCUCGGCCAAGCCAAACCCCAGUGACUGUGCUGGCCCCUUUUCCCCUUUUGGGGUCAGGCUGUGACAGCCCUGCCUGGCCCUGUGAGUCACAAGGGACACAGGACAAACACUCAGGGACAAUUUCUGUCAUUUUACACCCAGGGCACCACCCAGGGAUUGUUCACUGGGGCAAAGCCACCCCAAAACCGGAGCUGUGGCUCCUGUGGGGUUUGGGUAGGGCUGGGUGGGAGCGGGAGCUCCUGGAAGGGUUUGGGNACUGGGCAUAGAAGUUACUCAGGUCCUGGGGCAGGAAAAGCACAGGGACCUGCUUAUGGGGCUGAGGAGAAUCAGGGAACAUCCCCAUCCCCAAAUCCCACCCCAAAUCCCAUCCCUGCUGUCAUUGGGGCAGGAAAAGCACAGGGACCUGCUUAUGGGGCUGAGGAGAAUCAGGGAACAUCCCCAUCCCCAAAUCCCACCCAGCUGGAUACACCCCAAAUCCCAUCCCUGCUGUCUACCUCAAAUCCCACCCCUGUGUCCUGGGGACAGGAACAGCACAGGGACCUGGUUCUGGGGCUGAGGAGAAUCAGGGAACAUCCCCAUCCCCAAAUCCCACCCCAGCUGGAUACACCUCAAAUCCCAGCCCUGCUGUUCACCCCAAAUCCUAUUCCUGCUAUCUUGGGGGCAGGAACAGCACAGGGACCUGGUUAUGGGGCUGAGGAGAAGAAUUAGGAAAUAUCUCCAUCCCCAAAUCCCAGCCCUGCUGUCCACCCUAAAUCCCACCCCUGCAAUUCUGGGGGCAGGAAAAGCACUGGGACCUGGUUCUGGGGCUGAGGAGAAUCAGGGAACAUCCCCAAAUCCCACCCCUGUGUCCUGGGGCAGGAACAG